RNAcentral lists this ribosomal RNA (258 nucleotides) under uncultured prokaryote. Its description in RNAcentral is "partial 16S ribosomal RNA". It matches the Rfam family "Bacterial small subunit ribosomal RNA", at positions 525 to 777 of the family's 1533-position model. The record is from RNAcentral.
ACGAAGGGUGCAAGCGUUACUCGGAAUUACUGGGCGUAAGGGGUGCGUAGGUGGCCAGGUAAGUUCGGUGUGAAAGCUCGGAGCUCAACUCCGAAAUGUCAUUGAAUACUAUCUGGCUUAUUUUGAGGGUCGGAGGGGAGACUGGAAUUCUCGGUGUAGCAGUGAAAUGCGUAGAUAUCGAGAGGAACACCAGUGGCGAAGGCGAGUCUCUGGACGACACCUGACACUGAGGCACGAAAGCUGGGGGAGCAAACAGGA